CACAAACAAAGGAACUCUACAACCAACGUCUUCUUCUCUCUAGACUUCUUUUCAAAACUAAUGUUUCUUCUCUUUCUUCAUUUUCUUGAGGUUAGUAACGUCCAUGGCAACAGCACUUCACAUGAGGAAAAUGACUGAUCAAGAAGAAAAUCCUGAUACUAGUAGGGCUCUGAGUCUCAUUCACUCAAACUCAAACUCCUCCUCCUUCUGUAGCAUCACCGUUUCCCAACCCAAGAUUAGAAUCAAGAUUCCAAAACUCUUGGCCAAGGCCAUGCAGGAAAAAAGUAAUGGUUACAGUGCUAGUGCCAAUAAACCUGAUCGCACCAAAGCCAAGAAAAACAAGUGGGGGAAGGUUCGCUCCGUCUUCUCUUGCGCCUUUAACAGCAACAAAUUACCUAGGACUUACUCUAAUGUUCAAAGAAAUGUUGAUGCUAAUGAUCAUCAUCAAGAAGGCGUAGCAGAGGGAAAAAUCUUGAGAAGGGUUGAAUCUGAUGUGAUUGGAGAUCAUCAGCCUGUUGCCGUUCUUUCAGAUCAGUCUCCAUUAUCCAAGUCAUAUUCAAUUAAGAAACUUUUGGAGAUUGAAGAUGAAGAGCAGAAGCGGCCAAACAAGGAAACGAGAGCAAGCAAGAAGCAGCCAAGAAAAGCAGAUAAGUCUCUGAAUAUCUCACUAUCUUUCUCAAGAUUGUUUAAAAAGAGUACCAACUGCAAUUUCAUGAGAGGCAAAUUCAACGAAAUUGAUACCAAUAGCGUUGGUGUUGGCAGAAUUGCAGAUAUAGUGAUUGAAAGACAGGCAAGUACCCGCAGCCUUUCUAGGCUGCCAUCAACCGGAAACACUAGUGAUAUUGUGAACUUGCCUAGAGUUCCAUCGAGAAUACUAACCUGUCGCCGGAACUUGAAGAUGUCUCAGUCGUUGACGAAGAUUAAAAGUACGCGGAUUAAUGAAGGAAAAUCAUCAGAAAGGGAAGAUAGAGGUGAAGAGGAGCUGUGCAAAAAGAGGAUUUUAAUGGGAGAGAAGUGCAAGCCACUAAGUUAUUCUGGCACCCUUGAGUGAUAAAGAUGGGGUUUUGUUACCAGAUGUCAUUCAACGAUAAAGAUGGAGUUUGUUUUCAUGAGCAAG
This 1117-nucleotide unclassified non-coding RNA is filed under the name Hevea brasiliensis (rubber tree). The record is from RNAcentral. Lineage: Eukaryota; Viridiplantae; Streptophyta; Magnoliopsida; Malpighiales; Euphorbiaceae.